GAUGAACGCUGGCGGCGUGCCUAAUACAUGCAAGUCGAGCGAACAGACGAGGAGCUUGCUUCUCUGACGUUAGCGGCGGACGGGUGAGUAACACGUGGAUAACCUACCUAUAAGACUGGGAUAACUUCGGGAAACCGGAGCUAAUACCGGAUAAUAUAUUGAACCGCAUGGUUCAAUAGUGAAAGACGGUUUUGCUGUCACUUAUAGAUGGAUCCGCGCCGCAUUAGCUAGUUGGUAAGGUAACGGCUUACCAAGGCAACGAUGCGUAGCCGACCUGAGAGGGUGAUCGGCCACACUGGAACUGAGACACGGUCCAGACUCCUACGGGAGGCAGCAGUAGGGAAUCUUCCGCAAUGGGCGAAAGCCUGACGGAGCAACGCCGUGUGAGUGAUGAAGGUCUUCGGAUCGUAAAACUCUGUUAUUAGGGAAGAACAAAUGUGUAAGUAACUAUGCACGUCUUGACGGUACCUAAUCAGAAAGCCACGGCUAACUACGU
RNAcentral lists this ribosomal RNA (496 nucleotides) under uncultured bacterium. RNAcentral's name for it is "partial 16S ribosomal RNA". It matches the Rfam family "Bacterial small subunit ribosomal RNA", at positions 28 to 506 of the family's 1533-position model. The record is from RNAcentral.